Cryptomeria japonica (Japanese cedar) is the source of this 1271-nucleotide long non-coding RNA. RefSeq lists it as uncharacterized. The record is from RefSeq and is a predicted model, not a curated record. The transcript has 3 exons. NCBI's taxonomy places the organism in Eukaryota, Viridiplantae, Streptophyta, Pinopsida, Cupressales, Cupressaceae.
CCAUCUGUUUAUGUUUCGUGUCUUUUGGCUAUGAAAACUAGGAUUGCAACCUAGAUUAAUAUGUACCUCAUGGUCGGGCAUAUAGGACUCUGAAGACGAGUUUGCCGAUUCAUGUAGAUCUCUUUCUCCCAGAAGCAAUACUUCAUCUAAAAGACACAGAGCUACCCACUCUUAUGACUUAACAAGGUUUUAUCUCUCAACUCUUAUGACCUUUUUAGAGUUAUUAUGACUAUAAGAGAUUUUGUUGUGAAUGUUUAUUCAAUGGUUUGGAAGAGAAAGAGAUCUUAGUUUGAGGCUUUUGCUGGAAACCAGAGGCGAAGGAGCAGAAUCAAUGAGAAAAUGAAAGAUCUUCAACUUCUCGAUUUCUAAUUCGAAGAAGACGGACAAAGCUUCCAUUCUUGACGAAACAAUUGAGUACGUCAAACAGCUUCAACUUCUAAUACAAAUGCUUUGUUCUCCGAAUAAGAUGAGCCCAUCAUAUAUCUGCGUACCAAUGGGAAACCCAUGCUUUCAGGUGCCCCAGAUGUGCAUGAACAUGGGAUCCCAAUGGAAUAAUUGGUGCAUGACCGUGCACCAGGGAGUUCAAGCAGAACCAGGACUAUGGUCUAAUGAAGGAAACAAAGUGUGUUUUCAUACAGUAGGUCUGCCAAUGUGUUGUAGAUGCUUUCUGCUCCAAAUAUGAUGAACCCAUCACAUAUCUGCGUACCAAUGGGAAUCCCAUGCUUUCAGGUGCCCCAGAUGUGCAUGAACACGAAGAUGGGAUCCCAAUGGAGUAAUGGGUGCAUGACCGUGCACCAGGGAGUUCAAGCACAACCAGGACUAUGGUUUAAUGAAGGAAACAAAGAGUGUUUUCAUAGAGUAGGUCUGCCAAUGUUUACCAAGGUUUCACAACGCAUUAAUGUAUGACAUGCAGGUAGCGUUAAUACUUCACCGCUCCAGUCUCUUGAAGCAACUCAUAUUCGCUAGCCCUAGCCUGUGUGCUUUCAGAAACUUUAUCAUAUUCGAUUGUAGUAGCAAUAAGCUCUUCCAAGCAGCUCUUGAAGAUCAAAAUAGGAGCAACAGAAAUGUAAAUAUUUCAAUGAUUUGUUCAUGAUGUUGGACAGAGGGAGGAGAAACAACUAAUAACAAUCAUAGUUUAUAUUGCUCAGGAUAACAUUACAUCUAACAGACUUUUGACAGAGGUUCAGCUCUUCAUACAAGCACUUUGACUGAGCUUCUCCUCAUACUCAUGAACUCACUACAAUCUUACAUCAAUCUUACACUAGACUUCU